UCUCCGUUGGUGAACCAGCGGAGGGAUCAUUACCGAGUUUACAACUCCCAAACCCCUGUGAACAUACCUAUUUGUUGCCUCGGCGGUGCCUGUUCCGACAGCCCGCCAGAGGACCCCAAACCCUGAUUACAUUUAAGAAGUCUUCUGAGUAAACCGAUUAAAUAAAUCAAAACUUUCAACAACGGAUCUCUUGGUUCUGGCAUCGAUGAAGAACGCAGCGAAAUGCGAUAAGUAAUGUGAAUUGCAGAAUUCAGUGAAUCAUCGAAUCUUUGAACGCACAUUGCGCCCGCUAGUAUUCUGGCGGGCAUGCCUGUCCGAGCGUCAUUUCAACCCUCAAGCCCCCGGGCUUGGUGUUGGGGAUCGGCGAGCCUCCGCGCCCGCCGUCCCCUAAAUCUAGUGGCGGUCUCGCUGUAGCUUCCUCUGCGUAGUAGCACACCUCGCACUGGGAAACAGCGCGGCCACGCCGUUAAACCCCCAACUUCUGAACGUUUGACCUCGGAUCAGGUAGGAAUACCCGCUGAACUUAAGCAUAUCAAUAAGCGG
RNAcentral lists this ribosomal RNA (543 nucleotides) under Ilyonectria sp. RNAcentral's name for it is "eukaryotic LSU rRNA". The stretch from base 171 to 324 matches the Rfam family "5.8S ribosomal RNA". Lineage: Eukaryota; Fungi; Ascomycota; Sordariomycetes; Hypocreales; Nectriaceae. The record is from RNAcentral.